CGGAGGAUCCAAGCGUUAUCCGGAAUCAUUGGGUUUAAAGGGUCCGUAGGCGGGUUUAUAAGUCAGUGGUGAAAGCCCAUCGCUCAACGAUGGAACGGCCAUUGAUACUGUAGAUCUUGAAUUAUUAGGAAGUAACUAGAAUAUGUAGUGUAGCGGUGAAAUGCUUAGAGAUUACAUGGAAUACCAAUUGCGAAGGCAGGUUACUACUAAUGGAUUGACGCUGAUGGACGAAAGCGUGGGUAGCGAACAGGAUUAGAUACCCUGGUAGUCCACGCCGUAAACGAUGGAUACUAGCUGUUCGGAGCAAUCUGAGUGGCUAAGCGAAAGUGAUAAGUAUCCCACCUGGGGAGUACGUUCGCAGGAAUG
Molecule: ribosomal RNA, 366 nt
Filed under: uncultured organism
Description: bacterial SSU rRNA
Rfam family: Bacterial small subunit ribosomal RNA
Source: RNAcentral